This 386-nucleotide ribosomal RNA is filed under the name uncultured bacterium. RNAcentral describes it as "bacterial SSU rRNA". It matches the Rfam family "Bacterial small subunit ribosomal RNA", at positions 30 to 419 of the family's 1533-position model. The record is from RNAcentral.
AUUGAACGCUGGCGGCAUGCCUUACACAUGCAAGUCGAACGGCAGCGGACCUUCGGGUGCCGGCGAGUGGCGAACGGGUGAGUAAUAUAUCGGAACGUACCUUUCAGUGGGGGAUAACGUAGCGAAAGUUACGCUAAUACCGCAUAUUCUGUGAGCAGGAAAGCAGGGGAUCGCAAGACCUUGCGCUGAUUGAGCGGCCGAUAUCAGAUUAGCUAGUUGGUGAGGUAAAGGCUCACCAAGGCGACGAUCUGUAGCGGGUCUGAGAGGAUGAUCCGCCACACUGGAACUGAGACACGGUCCAGACUCCUACGGGAGGCAGCAGUGGGGAAUUUUGGACAAUGGGCGCAAGCCUGAUCCAGCCAUGCCGCGUGAGUGAGAAGGCCUGG